This 445-nucleotide ribosomal RNA is filed under the name uncultured bacterium. RNAcentral describes it as "partial 16S ribosomal RNA". It matches the Rfam family "Bacterial small subunit ribosomal RNA", at positions 354 to 796 of the family's 1533-position model. The record is from RNAcentral.
GUGAGGAAUAUUGGUCAAUGGGCGAGAGCCUGAACCAGCCAAGUCGCGUGAAGGAUGAAGGUUUUAUGAAUUGUAAACUUCUUUUGCAGGGGAAUAAAGUACGGUACGUGUACCGUUUUGUAUGUACUCUGCGAAUAAGGAUCGGCUAACUCCGUGCCAGCAGCCGCGGUAAUACGGAGGAUCCAAGCGUUAUCCGGAUUUAUUGGGUUUAAAGGGUGCGCAGGCGGGUUGAUAAGUCAGCGGUGAAAGUUUGCAGCUUAACUGUAAAAAUGCCGUUGAAACUGUCGGACUUGAGUGUAAAUGAGGUAGGCGGAAUGCGUGGUGUAGCGGUGAAAUGCAUAGAUAUCACGCAGAACUCCGAUUGCGAAGGCAGCUUACUAAGCUACAACUGACACUGAAGCACGAAAGCGUGGGGAUCAAACAGGAUUAGAUACCCUUGUAGUCC